GGUGCUUUAGAGAAGUGGUUAACUCACUCCCUUCGGGCUCAAGCUAAUGUGGGAGAGAUCGGGGGUUCGAAUCCCCCAAGCACCC
Molecule: non-coding RNA, 85 nt
Organism: Hypoxylon fuscum
Lineage: Eukaryota; Fungi; Ascomycota; Sordariomycetes; Xylariales; Hypoxylaceae
Source: the annotation of a GenBank genome assembly